CAACACUGGAAAUUUUAUUUCUAGUGAUUGGAAUGAUGGGAAUUUAAACCCCUUUCAGAGUAACAAUUGGAGGGCAAGUCUGGUGCCAGCAGCCGCGGUAAUUCCAGCUCCAAUAGCGUAUAUUAAAGUUGUUGCAGUUAAAAAGCUCGUAGUUGGAUGUCUGCUGGAAGCAAUCAGUCCGCCCUAUUUGUAGGGUGUGCACUUGAUGAAUUCUGGCAUUUUUGUCCCAAUGAUGUAACGGGGCGGUGGUACUCGGUGAAAGCCGAGUAUCCUGUUUUCCGAUUAUUGGGAUACUGUUACUUUGAGAAAAUUAGAGUGUUUGAAGCAGGCUAAUUGCCUUGAAUACUGCAGCAUGGAAUAACAAUAUAGGAUUUCGGUUCUAUUUUGUUGGUUUCUAGGACUGAAAUAAUGAUUAAUAGGGACAGUUGGGGGCAUUCGUAUUUAACUGUCAGAGGUGAAAUUCUUAGAUUUGUUAAAGACGAACUACUGCGAAAGCAUUUGCCAAAGAUGUUUUCAUUAAUCAAGAACGAAAGUUAGGGGCUCGAAGACGAUCAGAUACCGUCGUAGUCUUAACCAUAAACUAUGCCGACUAGAGAUAGGAAAAUGUCAUUUUGCUGACUU
Molecule: ribosomal RNA, 621 nt
Filed under: Sarcocystis tenella
Lineage: Eukaryota; Apicomplexa; Conoidasida; Eucoccidiorida; Sarcocystidae
Description: SSU rRNA
Rfam family: Eukaryotic small subunit ribosomal RNA
Source: RNAcentral